Molecule: long non-coding RNA, 3728 nt
Filed under: Panthera leo (lion)
Lineage: Eukaryota; Metazoa; Chordata; Mammalia; Carnivora; Felidae
Description: lncRNA (ENSPLOG00000001409.1)
Source: RNAcentral
UCCUGAGGGGCAGGGAGGGAGGACAAGGAUGGAUGGACACACAGCCAGGGAGAGAAGAUACCAUCAGACGGGUGCAAGAAGUCUAGCCAGGAUGAAGUUGUCUUUCUUGUUUUGAAUUAAAAGCACUGAUUGUGUGAUUUCAUUCUUCGUUUCUUAAAUGUCUGUUGCCAAGCAACUUACGUCAGUGGUUCUCAGAAGGAAGGGUGAGACAGCAGUCCCUGAGUGGCAGGUGACCAGCAACACAAUGCCCUGAGGCUGGUGAGGAGGCCGUGCUGACCAUGGGGGCUAAGGCCUGGAGGAGCCCCCUGCAGGAGGGACUGACUCACAAGCUGACAUGGACCAAGCCCUCUUCUGAGACCACUGAGAGCAGGAACCUAGGUCGGUCCGGUGCACCUGUCCGGCAAGUCCAGGCCCCCAAGCCAAGGCCAAGCACCCACCCCCGCCUCCCAGGGGCUCGGGGUGGCCGCGAAGCCCCGCCCCGCCGUUGGCCAAUGGCCGCGCGGUCCCGCCCCUCCCCACCCUCCCCCUCCCCUGUAGGGGAGGGUUCCGGACUGUCCCGGGAGGUCGGCCUGUCGGCGUGUGGUGGCAACCCGAGGUAAGAUAGCCUCCCCGGGCGCUCGGUCCCGUCGGCUCAGGACGCGCGGACGCCUCCCCGGAAGGUGGUCAGCGGCGGCAGAAGCCGAGUGGGACUCGAAGUGCGCCCGGGCGCACGGGGUCUGGGGCGCACGGGGUUCCGGGGACAGGACUGGCCGCGCGGGUCUGGGGAAGGGCUGGUCCUAAGGGCACACGCGGUUCGCGGCAGCGAGGGCUCCACGAGCCUCAGCCAGCACCCAGGGUGGCUCCGGGCGUCUGCUGGCACUGGAGGGGAGGUUGGGCCGGAAGGAGGCAGGCACAGGCAGCUGAGGUCCUCCAGCCGCACCGGCAGGCCGAGGGUGACCCUGGGACGAGGCCUAGCCUGGAUGGGCCAACCUCCCGGAGCCGCGGCCGCGCCUAGGGGCCAGGGCCGUCGCCCUCCCCUAGAUCUUUACAGUUCUCGGUGAUGAUACCUGCUCAGAACAGCCUCUCAUCCUCCGCGGGCCUGGUCCCAUCCAGGAAUCCUAGCCAAAGCAGUGAGGCCUCGCCCCUCUGGGCCCGAAGAUUAUUUCUUUCCGGGACGCACUCAGAGCCUCCGAGGCUGUCGGGUAGGAAAUUCUCCUUGCAACGUUGGUCCGCCCUUCUUCUCUGAGACCACAAGGAGGUGCUAGGAAAACAUUGAAAAAACAAAACAAAACAACCCCCCACAACAACACAACAAACAACCACGUUCUCCUGCACGCUGUGGAGCCUCAAUAACUUCUAGAAGGAUAGUCAGUUACCUGAGAACCGUGACUGCUGUAGAGGGCAGGUUAGAAUGCUCUCAGCCUUGUCAGAACGAUGUCCAUUUCCCACAAGACAAGGACUAAAUAUUGCAGUCUCCCAGGGGCACCCCCACCCAGCGACCCCCCCUCACCCAGACAGUGGCCUUGGUCCCUCUAGUACUGUGAGUCUCACUUGCUGCAGCUGCCCCCAUGUUCUGCAAGAUGCAUGGUGAGCUGCAAGGAGGCAACAAGUCCUGGGUUCAAAUCCUGUCAGGAUCACGGGUCUGCUUGUGCAGCCUGGCAUCAUUUCUCCUCUCCUAAAUGAAAGAAACCCAGGAGGUGCCUGCCUAAGUGGACCAUCAGUAUGUGAACAAAUGUGGUCUUCCUUUCUUUUUGGUUGGAGCAUGUUAUAUUUCCAUACUCCCCUAACUGUGUUACUAAGGGCUGAGGCUCAGGUGCAGAAGAAUGUGUUACCUGAUUCUGUCCUGGUACUUCCCUGGAUGCCAUGGGAAAGAAGGAGAAAAGGGUCAUUUAGUCACCAUAGAGUUGUUCUUUGCUCGUCUCCUGAAGGCUCAGAGGACUCCCACCCCACCACCUCCUUGAUCCUCUUGACCUCUGUCAUUAACACUUGCCCCACCAGGAAUGUAGCACCUGGUGGCUACGAAGGGAGGCAGGCAACAUGAGGCUCUGAGGCCGGUAGACAGGACUGUCGCCCCAUUUCCCAUGUGGUGAGGGACUGGCAGCUCAGCUGUGCUCUGCAGCACUGCCUCCUAGAGUCCCACCCAAGACUGACACCACCUGGCCCUCCCUUUUCUGAUUCCUUCCUUCCCAGAAAAUCCACUUGGACAUCUAGUAGCCUCUUAAGCUUUUUCAGAAUGGAUCUUUGGAGUCCUCUCUGUGCCACAACUUGCCCACCAGAUUUUCUGGCUUGGAAAAUGGCACCAUCCAUGCACCUAGUGCCUGAGGAAUCACCUUGAUUCUUCUCCCUUCUUCACCUCCCACAUGCACAACACACUAGGAAUCCAGCCACCUCUCACCACCUCCAUGGUUGGCAUUCUGGCCAUACCCUUCACGUGGCUCCCUGCUUUAGCCUCCUGAUUUGUCUUCUUGCUUCCAUCCUGGUCCCUCCACAGUCUAGCUCCUCACAACUACCAGGGAGGUCUUUAACAUAAGUCAAAUCCUCUCCCUUCCUUGCUCAGAAGCCUCCUAUGGCUCCCCAUUUCACUCGAGAGAGAAAAAAGUAAACCCAAAACUCAAAGUCUUUUCCUGCAACGCCCCCAUAAGCCACCACUCCCAACCUCCUUGACCUUGAUCUCAGCCCCUCCCCUAGUUUUUUAAACCUGGACCACCGGGAACUGAUUUCUGUUCUUUAAACAUGCCAAACUUGUUUCCACCUGAGGACUUCUAAUUUGCUGUGCCCUCUGCCCAAAACACUGAUCUCACAGUCCAGAAUGGCUCAUCUCAAAUGUCAUUAAUCCAGAAAGACUUCCUGACCAACUCUGCCUAGGCAGCAUGCCCUUCUACAGGAGUUCUGUCUUCUUAUCCUGCUUUAUUUUCUUUAUAACCUUGAUUAUUGUUUGGAAUUUUUAUUUAUAUGUAUACUUACUGAUUUGUCAUCUGUCCCACCUCAAGAGAAUAUAAAUUGGAUGAUGGCAGAGAUCUUAUCCCUCUUACUCCCUACAGCUCUCCCUGAGGGGGGAAGCAGGUAAGAAAUUUGCAGACAGCCCCAUCUAUAAUUGCAAAUUGUGGUAAGUGCUACUUAAGGCAAUUGCUUGUAAUUGAGGCGCUUGUAAAUGUCAAGUUUACUAGGUUGAACUAUUGUGUUGUCAAAAUAAGCUCUCUGAGCCAUUUUAGGAGUGAAGACAAGCCUGGAAAAGACUGGUAAUUUGCCCCAGAUCACACAUAGUGAUUGGAACUCAGCCUCCUACCCUAAGAACAUGUAUGUGGCAAGCUUUAAUGGUGGGCCUGCAAUCAUGUUCUGGAAAGAAACUGAUCCUAGAGCCUGAUAAUUUUCCACUAACUAGCAAGCCCUUAUUCUUGGUACUUCAUUUUCUUCACCUUUAAAGUAGGAUGAUCUUAUUAUUAUCCUUUUGGGCUUUUUCCCCCCUAGUACACCCCAAAGAAGUAGGACUUCUUGCUUUCAGCAACGAGGGGCACAUACAGACCUUAGGACAAUGGCAAGGAGUCAGAACUCUCUGCAAUACCAACCAACCUACAAGACAGAAAUGGGGCCUACAUCUUCUGGAUCUUAUUUCUUUUGUUCAUCAAUUCAUUUUUUAUUUUUUGAGGGCCUCUGGACUUGGGCAGUAAUAGAAUUGGAUGAUUAAAGAAAGAAGCAAAACAUUCCAAAGAGUUGAGAAAGAAAGAAGUAAUUGCCUUUUGUCCGAUCCC